CUUGGGGAAAAGCCUCGAAACUGUAAGCUUUGUAAACUGGGACUUAGGCCAAAUUGAUCUGGGACGCAAUGUCUGACGAAAUACUUUCAGUGGAUGAAGGGUCGUCAGUUGACUUGCCAUCAGGUAACGAAUCCAUCAACGGACCAAUGGAUAGCAGGUCAUUCCACACCGGAUCAUCGGUGGACAGCUCCGGAUAUGGUUCUGUGGGUGGAAGUGAGUCAGUGAGCUCGUCACCCAUCUUAUUUAAACUCCUGGACGAGACGGAUGGCCCGGAGACAGUUGACAGCCCUCAACAGAAGUGUGGGGUGUUUGGGGCGUCCCUGUCAACGCGGUCAAAGGAUGGUGGUCAUUUUCUUCAUCAGCUGCACAAGGAUGAUCGAGACCAAUGGUCCAAAAUUCGAGAUGGUGAUAAAGUGCACGAUGGGGAUGAGCUCCAGUAUAUCAACCAGAUGAACAUGACGAGGUGGAGCCACCAGGAAGUCUUAGAGACCAUACGCCACCUGAAGAAUGACAUCACAUUUACAUUUUUCCGUGAGAAGAAGGAGUUUGAAGAAGAUCACAUUGAACGAACAGAAGACCUUUUCAUCGAGAUAACCUUCAAUAUCAGCGACCUUGACUCUGAUGGCAAGGGUAUUUCUAUAGGAAAUGUGGCCUCUCACAUCAAAGGAGUCAUGAUUAAAGUCGUCCAGAAUAUUUCGUAUAAAAGCUCGCUGAAUGUUGUGUCAUUUUCUGGGUCGACGGAAGUGAAAAUUGGUCAUGGUGCAAUGACACAACGCUAUCUCCGUGCCAAACAAGAUGAAGUUGACAUGGAGCGAAGAACUUCAGACCAGAAACCUUACUGUUUCCAGAUGCACAGCUACGUUGUUCAGGACAGGGAAGAUGCCGACCCUAGAAGUCUGGAACGUAUGGUGGCAUUUCAAAGCUGCCUAAACAAUAAGUUCCUGAUGUGCCAGAAGAGCUCAAAGAAACUCACACUACUGGAGAUUCAUAUUGAUGACAACCAACUCCAAGUGAAGGCUGCGAACAGUCCGUGUUUGUUUCUCAUGACGGAGAACGGUAGCGAAGACUUCUACCUGGAAUCUGUUGCCUAUGAAGGACACUUCCUUGGCUUCGAUGAGGUUGACCGUCUCGAGCUGACACAUCUGAAGAAUUCUCCAGCUUCUCCAAAGUUUCAAGAGACUGACGUUAUUCGUCGGAACUACACCUUUCAUAUUCACUAAAACAACCAACUUGAGAUGCAAAAUUGUCAUUUGGCCUGCAUCUGAUGCGUAAAGCUGACAUGCGAUAGCCUGACAGCACAGCCAGCCCUACAUGAUUGGAUUAUCACACAAUGUGGAUAAAAGAGGGUUUGUUUUGUGAUCACAUGUAAGAAUACAUGUGCUAGAUGAUUGUUAAUUUGUGAAGAGGUUAUUUCUUGUUUUGUUUCAUAUAUGAAACGUCCAAAUGUCUGGGCUUUAAAUAAUGCGGCUAAAGGGGUCUGCAGCAUCCCCAUGUGUCUAAAGUCCAAUGUACUUACAGUUUAAAACAACAUGAUUUGGUCUGAUGGUCAGGAUGUGGUAUAAAACUUAUUUUACCCAUAAUAACUUGUCCAUUUACCAAAGUGUAGGCAAUCUGGCAAAUGGAUAAAAAUGGAAUAUAAUGUUAUUUUUUAUGUUGUCCUAUUCAUCUAUCAUUUUAGUUUUUGGUACAAAAUGAUCAGUCAAAUCAUAUCACAGAAAUUCUCAACUGGUGAAUGGCAGUAUGAAUUAUUUAAAUUCACAAUAUGAAAUUCAUAUCUUUGUGUCAUGUUCACAUUCAAAUUCACAGACAAGUCACCAAGGUCACAGUUCACAAACUUUUUUGCUAAUUUAAUCAAUUGUGCAUCAGUGUCUUGGAACUGUAAUAUGUAUUAAACACUGAGGAUGAGGCAAGUUAGCAAUGGGUGAUUAAUAUGUGGACAGUCAGUUAAUUAGCAGUAUUCACAGACAGAAUUUACAUUUGUUGUACAUAUUUCAGACAUUUAUUUUCAUAUUUUGACCAUCUGUUAUAAUAAUUGUUGCUGUUGUGGAUAGUCAUGACAUAUUUUCUACUAACAAGGUCACAGUGACAUUUAAAGUAAACCACAGUAUCCAAAGGAUAAAAAGUCAUAGUGACAAGUAGGUCAUGGUGACAGGAGUGUAAAAGGUCACAGUGACAUUAAGGAUAAAAGGUCACAGUGACAUUUGAAAGUAGGCCAUGGUGACAGAAGGAUAAAGGUCACAGUGACAUUUGAAAGUAGGCCAUGGUGACAGAAGGAUAAAGGUCGCAGUGACAUUAAGGAUAAAAGGUCACAGUGACAUUUCUUGGAAAUGGCAUGUGAAUCGUACUUACAUAGAUGAAAUAAAUCACCUGCUGAUCCCUCCUCCCACCUACAUGUCAUACCUACGUAACCACACAGCCUCAGCAUCCUAUGACGGCCUCGGGAUCAGCCAUUUGAUGUUCUGGAGCGGCCUGGGAAUUAGUAAGGAGAUUGAAUAUGUGUCAGCUGCAUCUGAAAAAACAGACAUUGUUUUAAUUAAAACUAUGGGUCUAACUAUAUUUAUAUUCGUUUUAAAAUAAUCUUGCAACAAUGUAUUUUUGUGCCAGGAAGAUUGUUGGUGUUUUUUUCUGCUGUCUGAAGCAUCUUUAUCUUUUUCAAAUAUUUUCUGGAACAAUUUAUAUAUUUCAAUAAAAUCCCAGGUGCUGAAACCACACCCAUUUGAGUAAGGGAUAAUUUCCUUUUCAUCAUUUAAAUUCAGUAAAAUAAGAACAAAAUUGUGCUGUAACUUUCAGUGUGGUCAGUGUAAAACAAUUAAAUACUUUUUGACUAUUUCCUUUCCGUAUUUUCCAUGUAUAUAGUUUUAAAAAAAUGUAUCGUUUUCACAUUUCAUUUGAUGCCAUGUAUUGUUUAUUGUUGGUAGACGUGUUCAUAGAUAUGUUGUGAUGUAAUAAUCAACUUGGGAUACCGAGAUCUCUGUGAUUUGAUCUCUUGACAUAGACAUUCGGUUUGGUAUAUCACAGCAGUAUUCCUAUAAAGCUUUGAGAAGCAGAUAUGAUUUACUAUUGUGACUGUUGAAUAGGCAUUGUGAGCAAUAGAGUUACCAGUGUGUAGACCUACUCCUGACUGACUCCCACCUGGGUCUAGAUCUUGAAAACAUUGAAGGUUUCUGUUAAGCAAAUCGAUCAAAAAUGACCAAAAUCAUCAAAACAAAAAUAGUAUUUUUUUAUCAAUCCACACCACACAGCCAAUUUCUGGUGUCGCCUGUCAUGAUAUUGCAGGAAUAUUGCUAAAAGCGGCGUAAAACCGUACACACUUACUCAAAAGGUAACAAAAUGCAUCUGAGAAAUUUUAACUCACCUGAUAACGUAAAACCGUACACACUUACUCAAAAGGUAACAAAAUACAUCUGAGAAAUUUUAGCUCACCUGAUAAUGUAAAACCAUACACACUUACUCAAAAGGUAACAAAAUGCAUCUGAGAAAUUUUAACUCACCUGAUAACGUAAAACCAUACACACUUACUCAAAAGGUAACAAAAUACAUCUGAGAAAUUUUAGCUCACCUGAUAAUGUAAAACCAUACACACUUACUCAAAAGGUAACAAAAUGCAUCUGAGAAAUUUUAGCUCACCUGAUAAUGUAAAACCAUACACACUUACUCAAAAGGUAACAAAAUGCAUCUGAGAAACUUUAGCUCACCUGAUAAUGUAAAACCAUACACACUUACUCAAAAGGUAACAAAAUGCAUCUGAGAAAUUUUAGCUCACCUGAUAAUGUAAAACCAUACACACUUACUCAAAGGGUAACAAAAUGCAUCUGAGAAAUUUUAGCUCACCUGAUAAUGUAAAACCAUACACACUUACUCAAAAGGUAACAAAAU
RNAcentral lists this unclassified non-coding RNA (3876 nucleotides) under Haliotis rufescens (red abalone). RNAcentral's name for it is "uncharacterized LOC124110900, transcript variant X1". The record is from RNAcentral. Lineage: Eukaryota; Metazoa; Mollusca; Gastropoda; Lepetellida; Haliotidae.